GGACCAGUAGCUCAGCUGGAUAGAGCAUCCGCCUUCUAAGCGGAGGGUCGUGAGUUCGAAUCUCACCUGGUUCA
This is a transfer RNA of Pediococcus cellicola, 74 nucleotides long. It matches the Rfam family "tRNA". From Rfam's summary of the family: Transfer RNA (tRNA) molecules are approximately 80 nucleotides in length. Their secondary structure includes four short double-helical elements and three loops (D, anti-codon, and T loops). The record is from Rfam. Lineage: Bacteria; Bacillati; Bacillota; Bacilli; Lactobacillales; Lactobacillaceae.